RNAcentral lists this long non-coding RNA (693 nucleotides) under Callithrix jacchus (white-tufted-ear marmoset). Its description in RNAcentral is "lncRNA (ENSCJAG00000073291.1)". The record is from RNAcentral. Lineage: Eukaryota; Metazoa; Chordata; Mammalia; Primates; Cebidae.
AGGACUUCCCACUGGCUUGUGAGGGAGCGCAUUCCUUGGCUGGAAAAUGAGAGGCAAAGAGGACCAUCACAAGUAGAAUUAUUUCUGGUCAAAGUUUUCCUUCUAGGCCCCUCUGCUGUAGGACUGCUGGAGGUCCACUCCAGACCCUGCUUGCCUGGGGCUCACCUGCAGUGGCUGAAGAACAGUGACAGUUGCUGCCAGUUUCUUCUUCUGCUAUGUUUGUCCCAGAAGGAUACCUGCCAGAUGUCAGUCUGAGCUCUCCUUUAUGAGGUGAUUAUUUGGAUAUAUGGGGGUCGGGGAACUGCUUGAGGAGACAUUCUGUCCUUUAUAGGAGCUCAAGUGCUGAGGUGUGAGCCUUGUUUUUCCAUUCAGAGCUGCUGGGCAGGUACGUUUAAGUCUGCUGCAGUGGAACUCAUAACAGCCUUCUUUUUUCCUAGGUGCUGUGUUCCCAGAAGGUAGGGCUUUAAGUUUCUGUCAUGCUGCUGCCUUUUUUCAGGGAUGCCCUCCCCAGCGAGGAGGUAGCCUAGUCACAGUCUGCCAGAAGAGGUGUUGCUGAGCUGCUGUGGGCUCCGCCCAGCUGCUGUGUGAACUUCCCUGCAGUCCUGUUUAUAGGGGUAUAGUUAGUACUGCCUUGGCAAUGUCAGCUCACCUCUGUAACAGUGGACUCUCUCUGUAAUGGCAGACUGCCUUGGU